Molecule: long non-coding RNA, 1107 nt
Filed under: Calidris pugnax (ruff)
Lineage: Eukaryota; Metazoa; Chordata; Aves; Charadriiformes; Scolopacidae
Description: lncRNA (ENSCPUG00000005365.1)
Source: RNAcentral
AUUGAUGCUGAGUGGAGCUGAGCCUGAGUGAAUGCAGCAGGAAUACAGUAACUAAAUCUCUGUUGAUUUAUUUAUUUUUUUUUGUUCUUUUAAAGGGAGAAGAAAAAUCCCUCGACUCUGACAUUUACAAUAGACAUUAUCCGCUCCCUGACAUUUGGGCUCAUAAACUGAGGUCGGCCAAAUUUCCGUUCUUCACUCACCCCGCUGUGUGAGACAAGAUGUGAACUGACAGAGUGGCCCUUCCUCUGAACGGUGGAGCACCUGCCCCUUGCUCCCCACACAGGAUUUCGGGAGACAGGUACUUAUUUCAUUCCACAGCUGGCCAUGGAUGGAGGGGGCUGCUCCAGGAGGCUUUCCUGAGGUUGAGCCAGGCUGGUGAUGCCAUGUUGCUGUCACCCACAUCCAGGCUUUAGAAGGACGAGAAUCAGGACGAGGCUUUUGUAACUCCUUUGAACACAGCCAGGAACCAGCUGGACUUACCCUCCACCCUGCAGAGGAUGCAAACCAAACUCCUUGUAAUCCAGAGCCUGCUCCAGCAUCACCUUCUCCCACCAGCAUUUUGGCACCCACCUGAAGCACCGAGAGCAGCAGUGAAAUGAUGUGGCAGCAUUAACCCUGCUGAGUGAAGGGGAGUGUCUGCAGGGGAACACACAACUGAGGACGAGUGCCUGGAGACACACAGAGGAGACUGCCAGAAGUCAGAGUGCAGUGAUGCUGGGUUAGAGCCGGGGACACCCAGCCCCAGGAAGCCCAGCGUGCCCGUCCCCCUGACCACAGUCCCACCACCAGCACGUCAUGACCCAGAGGUUCCUUGCUUCAAGCAGCCAAGGCCACGCAGAGUCCCAACUCUUGGAGCAGAGAGCACCUCCUUCAGCGUGAAGUUCUGUGUGAAACGUGGAUACUCCGGAGAGCAGCCGGCUCCCAGCCUCCCGAAACAGGACUGCAGAGAGAUGGCCUGUAGGUGUCAGCCUCCUGCUGCACAACCGCACACACAGGCUCAACAGCAGGUGGGUCCCUAUGUUUGUUUUUUAAAUCAAAGCCAUCUCACUUCACACCUGUUUUACUUAAAAAGUAAAAAUUAAAAAAAAAAAAAAACACCUCAAGUUU